Molecule: transfer RNA, 73 nt
Filed under: Anaerolineae bacterium
Lineage: Bacteria; Bacillati; Chloroflexota; Anaerolineae
Description: tRNA-Glu
Rfam family: tRNA
About the family: Transfer RNA (tRNA) molecules are approximately 80 nucleotides in length. Their secondary structure includes four short double-helical elements and three loops (D, anti-codon, and T loops).
Source: RNAcentral
GGCCCCAUCGUCUAGAGGCCCAGGACAUGGCCCUUUCAAGGCUAAAACGCGGGUUCGAAUCCCGCUGGGGUCA